AGAGUUUGAUCAUGGCUCAGGAUGAACGCUGGCGACGUGGAUAAGGCAUGCAAGUCGAACGGUUGUAGCAAUACAACAGUGGCGAACGGGUUAGUAACACGUAGAUAUCAACCCUUUACUCGGGCAUAACCUGGAGAAAUCUAGGCUAAUUCCCGAUAGUCCGGAAACGGUAAAGAUUUUUCGGUAAAGGAUGAGUCUGCGUCCUAUCAGCUAGUUGGUGAGGUAAUGGCCCACCAAGGCAAUGACGGGUAGGCGGAGUGAGAGCUUGACCGCCAACAAUGGCACUGGAACAUGGGCCAUACUCCUACGGGAGGCAGCAGUCGAGAAUAUUUGACAAUGGGCGAAAGCCUGAUCAAGCGACGUCGCGUGUGGGAUUAAGAUCUUCGGAUUGUAAACCACUUUUCUAGGGGAAGAACUUUGACUGUACCCUAGGAAUAAGGGGUGACUAAACUCGUGCCAGCAGUAGCGGUAAUACGAGUGCCCCAAGCGUUAUCCGGAUUUAUUGGGCGUAAAGGGUCUGUAGGUGGUUUGUUAAGUUUCUCGUUAAAGCUCCAGGGCUUAACCUUGGAAAAGCGGGAAAAACUGGCAAACUAGAGGAUGUUAGAGGCUGAUGGAACACUUGGUGAAGGGGUGGAAUCCGUUGAUAUCAAGUGGAACACCGAAAGCGAAGGCAAUCAGCUGGGACAGUCCUGACACUGAAAGACGAAAGCGUGGGGAGAGAAAAGGAUUAGAUACCCUUGUAUUCCACGCCUUAAACGAUGAAUACUGGCUAUUGCAAGUGUCGACCCUUGCAGUGGCGAAGCUAACGCGUUAAGUAUUCCGCCUGGGAAGUACGGCCGCAAGGCUAAAACUCAAAUGAAUUGACGG
This 867-nucleotide ribosomal RNA is filed under the name uncultured bacterium. Its description in RNAcentral is "bacterial SSU rRNA". It matches the Rfam family "Bacterial small subunit ribosomal RNA", at positions 8 to 916 of the family's 1533-position model. The record is from RNAcentral.